Molecule: non-coding RNA, 73 nt
Organism: Potamilus streckersoni
Lineage: Eukaryota; Metazoa; Mollusca; Bivalvia; Unionida; Unionidae
Source: the annotation of a GenBank genome assembly
GCUUUGGUGGCCUAGUGGUUAGAUUGUCUGCCUUGGAUGUGGGAGGUCAAGGGUUCAAUUCCCCGUUGAGUCA